GAUCAACGCUGGCGGCGUGCAUAACACAUGCAAGUCGAACGAUGAAACUUAACUGAUUUCUUCGGAAUGAUUUUAAGUGGAUUAGUGGCGGACGGGUGAGUAACGCGUGAGUAACCUGCCUUGCACAAGGGGAUAGCCGUUGGAAACGACGAAUAAUACCCUAUGAUAUAAACUCUUCGCAUGAAGAGCUUAUCAAAGAUUUAUCGGUGUAAGAUGGACUCGCGUCUGAUUAGCUAGUUGGUGGGGUAACAGCCUACCAAGGCAACGAUCAGUAGCCGGCUUGGGAGAGUGUACGGCCACAUUGGGACUGAGACACGGCCCAGACUCCUACGGGAGGCAGCAGUGGGGAAUUUUGCACAAUGGGGGCAACCCUGAUGCAGCGACGCCGCGUGAUUUAGAAGGCCUUCGGGUUGUAAAAAUCUUUUGUAUGGGAAGAAAAUGACAGUACCAUACGAAUAAGGACCGGCUAAUUACGUG
RNAcentral lists this ribosomal RNA (477 nucleotides) under uncultured bacterium. Its description in RNAcentral is "partial 16S ribosomal RNA". It matches the Rfam family "Bacterial small subunit ribosomal RNA", at positions 28 to 507 of the family's 1533-position model. The record is from RNAcentral.